RNAcentral lists this ribosomal RNA (460 nucleotides) under uncultured bacterium. RNAcentral describes it as "partial 16S ribosomal RNA". It matches the Rfam family "Bacterial small subunit ribosomal RNA", at positions 338 to 795 of the family's 1533-position model. The record is from RNAcentral.
CCUACGGGAGGCUGCAGUGAGGAAUAUUGGUCAAUGGGCGGGAGCCUGAACCAGCCAAGUCGCGUGAGGGAAGACGGUCCUAUGGAUUGUAAACCUCUUUAGGCGGGGAGCAAUGCCGGGCACGUGUGCCCGGAGGGAGAGUACCCGCCGAAUAAGCAUCGGCUAACUCCGUGCCAGCAGCCGCGGUAAUACGGGGGAUGCGAGUGUUAUCCGGAUUUAUUGGGAUUAAAGGGUGCGUAGGCGGAGUUUUAAGUCAGCGGUAAAAUGUCCGGGCUCAACCCGGGCCGGCCGUUGAAACUGGGGAUCUUGAGUGGGCGAGAAGUAUGCGGAAUGCGUAGUGUAGCGGUGAAAUGCAUAGAUAUCACGAAGAACUCCGAUUGCGAAGGCAGCUUACUAAACUGCCACUGACAUUGAUGCUCGAAAGUGUGGGUAUCAAACAGGAUUAGAGACCCGGGUAGUC